Long non-coding RNA from Cyprinus carpio (common carp), 1078 nucleotides. The record is from Ensembl. Lineage: Eukaryota; Metazoa; Chordata; Actinopteri; Cypriniformes; Cyprinidae.
GAAGCGUCGCUCCACGUCCGUCACUCCUCAGCGCAUAAAGCUCUUAUUCCACUCUCCUGCUCUGUCUGGGCUGAUGAAACAUCCUGCGCUUGACAUCGCUGACAAAUGGCAGGCGAAUCAAGCUGACACGACCGAGACAAUACAGCAAGCUCUCUAACGACCGGGACUGCGAUUCACUUCAAUGAGUCGGUUCGUUCGAACGGUUCAUUUUAACGAUUCGAUUCUUCGAGUCAAAAUUUCAAAUUGAUCCCAGAAACCAAUAGUAGAGUUUAGCUAUUUUUUUUUUUCUGUAGUGAGGAACAUUUUAGUCAAAUUAAGCUAUUUAUUUUAUUCAUGCUUUAAUUUUUGCAUUUUUAUUUUAUUUUUUCUUUCUUUCCAUAUUUAGCAUACUCAUUUGAUUUCAAAAACAAAACAAAAAAAACAUUAGGUUUGGCUUCAGCACCCACAGUAGUACAGCAGGCAUCGGAAAUUCGAGAAUAAACACUUUGCGAAUCAGUUCAAAUGAAUCAAGGAACCGACUCAAAAGAACGAUUCGUUUGCGACUCGGACUCCGCUACGCUGUGAACCGAGCGUGAAUUAUGCAUUCGGACUAACAAGGCAAAGUGAUGCUCAGAGAGGAGGACAGAGGACUCGGGGAAGAUGCAUUAAAAGGCGAUGAAGUUCUGUGAAGCGGUUUCUCGUCGCAGCGUUGUCUACGCACGCAUGAUUCAUUUAGUGUAGUGUUUUAUUGCUACGUAGCACGGGGUGGAUUUUAUAGCAAAGGAUAGAAAAAAACGAUAGUCGAUAUCGGAUGGUCGGUGAAAGGAAGAGAGGAAGGGGGGUGUAUGAUUUUAAUGAUGAUUUAUAGGCUACAGCGGACCGUCGCUUAAUUCUGAAUCACAGCCUGAACUUCUGAGGAAAUAACAAACAAGCGGUUUAUUCGGUAAAGGAGAGAUGGAUGGAGAGGCAGGCAAAAGAAGGGCUCUCUGAUGAAAAGGGUAAAAGAAAACGUGCCACAAGACCAAAUGGACUUCUGAAUCAUCUUGUGUGAAGAACCAUUAUAUUGGUUGAAUUGUGCUAUAAAAGGCAAGUGGAGUGC